RNAcentral lists this signal recognition particle RNA (353 nucleotides) under Theropithecus gelada (gelada). RNAcentral describes it as "Metazoan signal recognition particle RNA". It matches the Rfam family "Metazoan signal recognition particle RNA". From Rfam's summary of the family: The signal recognition particle (SRP) is a universally conserved ribonucleoprotein. It is involved in the co-translational targeting of proteins to membranes. The eukaryotic SRP consists of a 300-nucleotide 7S RNA and six proteins: SRPs 72, 68, 54, 19, 14, and 9. The record is from Rfam by way of RNAcentral. Lineage: Eukaryota; Metazoa; Chordata; Mammalia; Primates; Cercopithecidae.
GCCGGGCAUGGUACUGCAUGCCUGUAGUCCCAGCUACCUGGGAGACUAAAGCAGGAAAAUUGCUUGAGUCCAGGAGUUUGAGGCCACAGUGAACUAUGAACAUGCCACUGCACUCUAGCCUGGGCAACAGGCAAUAGAGUGAGACCCUAUCUCAAAAAAAAAAAAAAAAAAGGUUCACCAUCAAUAUGUUGACCUCCCAGGAGCAGGAGACCACUAGGUUGCCUAAGGAGAGGUGAAUCGGCCCAAGUCAGAAAAAGAGCAGGCCAAAAAUCCCAUACUGAUGUGUGUAGUGGGCUAACACUUGUGAAGCCACUGUGCUCCACCCUGGGCAAUAUAACAAGACCUCAUUUCUU